Molecule: non-coding RNA, 29 nt
Filed under: Rattus norvegicus (Norway rat)
Lineage: Eukaryota; Metazoa; Chordata; Mammalia; Rodentia; Muridae
Source: RNAcentral
UGACUUCUCAAUGAGGAAAUGUCAGGGCG